Molecule: unclassified non-coding RNA, 371 nt
Filed under: Hevea brasiliensis (rubber tree)
Lineage: Eukaryota; Viridiplantae; Streptophyta; Magnoliopsida; Malpighiales; Euphorbiaceae
Source: RNAcentral
AUAACCCCAGCUAAUAAUUCCCAACUCCCAUCAGAUUUCACUAUCGACAACAGAGGAUGGCAGAGAAACUUCCCUGGCGAGAAAGAAAAACAAGAAGGGAGCAGAAGGGAGGAAUGAAACCCUGGUAAGUGCUUUUGUGUGGACUGUGGAGACAGAGAGACACCAUGAGGUGAAGCCUUGGUAUGGUGGUAGUCGAAAUGGUAUGACAGAGAGUCCAUGCAUGGCGGCUGAUGAAGACGUCAAGGUGAGGCAAGGUUAACGCACAACGAGAAGGUUGACAGUUGAGAAUCAAAACAGAGAUUGGAACUGGAGGCUGGGAGUUUAGAAUCGAAACUCCAAAGCCCUGAGAGAAAGGGAUAAAGGAGAAAGGG